AGAGUUUGAUUAUGGCUCAGAACGAACGCUGGCGGCGCGUCUUAAGCAUGCAAGUCGAGCGGUAAGUUAUAGCUUGCUAUAACCUAGAGCGGCGGACUGGUGAGUAACGCGUGGGUGACGUACCCUUUGGACGGGGAUAGCCUGUGGAAACACAGGGUAAUACCGGAUACGGUGUCAUGUGUCAGAGGCAUGACAGGAAAGGUUCUUUUGAACCGCCGAAGGAGCGGCCCGCGUGCUAUUAGUUAGUUGGCGGGGUAACGGCCCACCAAGACGACGAUAGCUACCCGGCCCUAAGAGGGUGAACGGGGCACAUUGGGACUGAGAUACGGCCCAGACUCCUACGGGAGGCAGCAGCUAAGAAUAUUCCGCAAUGGGGGAAACCCUGACGGAGCGACGCCGCGUGGAUGAAUGAAGGCCGGAAGGUUGUAAAAUCCUUUUGGGAGCGAGGAAUAAUGAAAGUGAGAGAAACGCUUUCAGGUGACGGUAGCUCCUGAAUAAGCAACGGCUAAUUACGUGCCAGCCGCCGC
Molecule: ribosomal RNA, 527 nt
Filed under: uncultured bacterium
Lineage: Bacteria
Description: bacterial SSU rRNA
Rfam family: Bacterial small subunit ribosomal RNA
Source: RNAcentral